CAUUUUGGUUCGCAUUGCAAAACCAAACCGAAAUAAAUCGAGCCGUUCUCACCCUUGCUAGAAUCAUAAUUUGAUGUAAUUUUUUAAUGAUUUAAAAACGCAAGCAGUGAUGUAAUUUUUUUGAAUUCUUGCCGCCCGGGUGGCGCAAACCACUAAAUCGGCGCGGAGAGCAACGACAAAGUGGAGCUUCGUGGCUUUCCUGUCGAGUAAAUUGUCGCCGAAGUCAUAUGCUUCUUUCCUCUUCUUACUUUUCGAUCUCGUGAGAUCGAUACGACCUUCGCCUGAGAAAGGAACCGAAGAAAACUCACAGCUGCUAUGAAAUAUAUCCUGAAACUUUGCAAGGACACAAGUCUAAAACAAACAGGAGGGAUUCAGAGACCCAUGCUGCGAUGGGUUUUGAGCGAGCCUCUUCUCUAUUCUGUGCCUCGCUUUUCCUUCUCUUCUGUCCAUGGUUUCGAGCCCGCCUCUGCGUCUGAUGCUGAGUUUGGGUUUGGCUUAGCAAGGUAAAGAAGAUAUCGAGAGUCGAACUCUGAAUUUUAUCCUGAUCUGGACAAAACGAAUGCGAGAAUCAAACUCUUAACUUUAUACUGAUGUCAACCAAGAGAAGAUCGAGAGGCGAGCACUUAAUCUAAUCACAUCUUUGAUGUGAAUCCAUCCUUCCACAACUGAUAUCAACCAAGAAAAGAGCGAGAAACGAGCUCUUAACUUGGUCGCAUCUUUGAUGUAAAUCUCCCCUUCCACAAUAUCCAAUGACAACAAAUGCAAUGUGAACGUGCAUUUGGGGGUGUAAGGUAAUGAUGAAUUGAAUGAGGUCAGUGGGUAUGUAGGUUUGUUUGUCCACAAGUUGUGUGUCCAGUUCAAACCCAUUUGUCCUUCCUAUAUAAUUAUAUCUAUAACUUUAGUAUAAUCUUUAAUUAUUUUAAGAAAAACAAGUAGAAGAGGAAAAAAACCAAUUGGCCCAUGCAUGGCUCGUUCUCCUUGUCCCCCUGCACUCUUAAUAAUGCAAAUGUGACGACGAUGCUAAUAUAUCGUUUCGCUUAA
Long non-coding RNA from Pyrus x bretschneideri (Chinese white pear), 1041 nucleotides. RefSeq lists it as uncharacterized. The transcript has 4 exons. The record is from RefSeq and is a predicted model, not a curated record. NCBI's taxonomy places the organism in Eukaryota, Viridiplantae, Streptophyta, Magnoliopsida, Rosales, Rosaceae.